Molecule: ribosomal RNA, 433 nt
Filed under: uncultured bacterium
Lineage: Bacteria
Description: partial 16S ribosomal RNA
Rfam family: Bacterial small subunit ribosomal RNA
Source: RNAcentral
AGCGAACGCUGGCGGCAGGCCUAACACAUGCAAGUCGAACGAACUCUUCGGAGUUAGUGGCGGACGGGUGAGUAACACGUGGGAACGUGCCUUUAGGUUCGGAAUAACUCAGGGAAACUUGUGCUAAUACCGAAUGUGCCCUUCGGGGGAAAGAUUUAUCGCCUUUAGAGCGGCCCGCGUCUGAUUAGCUAGUUGGUGAGGUAAAGGCUCACCAAGGCGACGAUCAGUAGCUGGUCUGAGAGGAUGAUCAGCCACAUUGGGACUGAGACACGGCCCAAACUCAUACGGGAGGCAGCAGUGGGGAAUCUUGAGCAAUGGGAGAAAGCCUGACGCAGCCAUGCCGCGUGAAUGAUGAAGGUCUUAGGAUUGUAAAAUUCUUUCACCGGGGACGAUAAUGACGGUACCCGGAGAAGAAGCCCCGGCUAACUUCGUG